CCCUUAGAUGUUCUGGGCCGCACGCGCGCUACACUGAUGCAUUCAACGAGCCUAUCCUUGACCGACAGGUCCGGGUAAUUUUUGAAUCUGCAUCGUGACGGGGAUAGAUUAUUGCAAUUAUUAAUCUUCAACGAGGAAUGCCUAGUAGGCGCAAGUCAUCAACUUGCGUCGAUUACGUCCCUGCCCUUUGUACACACCGCCCGUCGCUCCUACCGAUUGGGUGUGCUGGUGAAAUGUUCGGAUCGGCCGUUUGUCGCGGUUUCCGCGGCUCGUGGCUGAGAAGUUCAUUAAACCCUCCCACCUAGAGGAAGGAGAAGUCGUAACA
RNAcentral lists this ribosomal RNA (325 nucleotides) under uncultured eukaryote. Its description in RNAcentral is "partial 18S ribosomal RNA". It matches the Rfam family "Eukaryotic small subunit ribosomal RNA", at positions 1470 to 1796 of the family's 1831-position model. The record is from RNAcentral.